RNAcentral lists this signal recognition particle RNA (292 nucleotides) under Aotus nancymaae (Ma's night monkey). RNAcentral's name for it is "Metazoan signal recognition particle RNA (ENSANAG00000011516.1)". It matches the Rfam family "Metazoan signal recognition particle RNA". Rfam says of the family: The signal recognition particle (SRP) is a universally conserved ribonucleoprotein. The record is from RNAcentral. Lineage: Eukaryota; Metazoa; Chordata; Mammalia; Primates; Aotidae.
CCUGGCUGCGGUGGCGCAUGUCUGUAGUCCCAGCUACUUGGGAGGCUGAGGCUGGAGGAUUGCUUAAGUCCAGGAGUACCGGGCUGUAGUGCGUUAUGCCAAAGUGGGUGUCCCCACUAAGUUCGGCAUCAAUAUGGUGACCUCGCGGAACCACCAGGUUGCCUAAGGAGGGGUGAACCAGCCCAGGUCGGAAACAGAGCAGGUCGAAACUCCCGUGCUGAUCAGUAGUGGGAUCGCGCCUGUGAGUAGCCACUGCACUCCAGCCUGAGCAACAUGGCGAGAUCUCGUCUCU